This is a non-coding RNA of Anas platyrhynchos (mallard), 396 nucleotides long. The record is from RefSeq and is a predicted model, not a curated record. NCBI's taxonomy places the organism in Eukaryota, Metazoa, Chordata, Aves, Anseriformes, Anatidae.
AGCAGACCUCGGCUGGUUUUUCCUUUGAACUGGAGGUGAUGGCCAGGGUGCUGCUGCAACUGCUCCCGUCCUGGCAGUCCCAAGGAGCAGGAGGGUUGAGUGUGACAGCGUGGACCAGCCUCUGGUUUCUGGCCCUAUCUGGAAGUGCCCAAUUUGCUGCUCUCAUCCUAGAAACAGAACCUUCUUCUUGGUUUCUGUGCUCAUGAACUAUCCAGUUAAAAGCAGUAGGUGUUGCUCCUUACGGCAUUAAAACCUCGAGUGGAUUCUGGCAGCUAAGCUUCAUAUUUUGCAAAGGGGAAGAGGAACUACUUUGUGUGUUUGGAAAUGUAUGGCCGAUGAAUACAACUUUUGAGGGAGUGGCUCAUCCCUGGUCUUGCUGCUCAGAUCGUCUCCAAG